This is a long non-coding RNA of Anser brachyrhynchus (Pink-footed goose), 1615 nucleotides long. NCBI's taxonomy places the organism in Eukaryota, Metazoa, Chordata, Aves, Anseriformes, Anatidae. The record is from Ensembl.
CUGUACUACCACUUUCAAGUCUCCUUCAGAUCUCUCUCCCAUUUGCUGAAUUUAUCUCUGGUAGAAAUCUGGUCUGGUCUUUUGCAAAAUCAGAGCAUGUGGGAUACUUUCAAAAAUCACAAACAAAUAGUUUCUGCUUUGUUCUUUUUCCUGAAAAUACUGGAAAACAAAAACUGGUUGUGAGAGACCAGAGAAGGAGCAUAGCUCAUUUCCUUAGAUGAGACCUUUUUUUUUUUUUUUUAACAGGACCACCUGAAUUGUUGUCCUAAAGAUGUCAGCUCUUAAUUGAAGUCAGGGAAGUCUAGACUAGGGGAGGAGCAAGGAGGCUAAGCCAGUUUUAAUUGGUGUAAAUUUGCAGCCACCAGUGAUUAGAGGUGGCUGUGUGAGGAGCACCAGGAGAGAUAAAGGGUUUGAAGGGAGACUAUGGGCCUCUCCAGGUCCUGUCAUCCCUUCUGAAAAGGGGGAUUUGUUAUCACCAGGUGCCAUUGUUACUGCUUUCCCUCUCAGUAACCAAAUCUAAUAGCUGUCCUGCCUUUCGUAUUGCUGUAUGGAUUUAAAUGUCUCUUUAGGAAAAUUUUUCACAGCCUUGGUUGACAAAACAUUGUGUGUGGAUGACCCAGCAAAGUUGACAUCUGUCUAAAACUGCAUUUUCAUGAAUCACAAACUGGAGACUGAAGCUUGUGCGUUCCUUAAGCCUGGAGUGUGCUUGGAUCUCUGGCUUGGUUUAUUCCCACAUCCUGAUUUAAUUGUUAACUUAAGGAAGGCAAGCUGGCUGGCAACGCGCUGCAGGGAUUGAGGGGGCUGAAGAAGUGGAACGUAAACUCCAGAAUAUUGUCUGGACUGGCUCAAUGUGCCAUCAGAGCGGUCUGUCGGUGCCAUCCUGCCUCCUCUGGAGAUCAGUGCCAUCACCCCAGCAGCUGAGAUGCAACACAUAUCCCCUUUUUGGCAACCUCUCUGAAGGGGGCUUGUGGCCUCCUGUCCACCGCAGAACUGCCUUCAUCAGGAAAACGGGGUACAGGUGUCUUGACUCUGUUACUGAAUCCACAAGGUGGAAGAAGUCCAAGGCUGAAUGGAGCAUCAUUCCCCAGCAACUCGUACCAGAUGUUAAAGAAAUGAAUAGAAAUGAAAGUCAGCAUUCCCUGGGACAAAAGUAUCAAGGUAUUUCCUAGGCUUUUGUUUCGUUGUUUGAAAGCUUUUGUGUGUCCUGUGUUUUGGUUAUUGACAGUUUUUCACUUCAGUCUGAGAGAUAGGAGGACAGUUUGCACUGUAGAUGGCUGUUAUUAAUUAAAAUGAGGAAUGAUGACAUUAAAACCAGAAAUGGUGAGUCCAGUCACAAGGAUGAGUGUUAGGAGAAGAGGGGUGGUUAAUGUUGAGCCCUCUGUUGCCAGCAUGUCGGUCACCAGCUUGUCGUGUGCAGGCUUUGACAGUCAACUGCAGUAGGACAGAGCUUCUGAUUCUGCCCCACAGCUUCGUUACAUGAGCCCCACCAGGGCUACACAUACACGUCUUAAUUUUGAAAAGCUGUCAUGCUUUCCAUGACCUUUCUGAAAUCCUUUUUCUGCUGAUCUUCAACUGGUUGUUACCACGUUGCAGGUGCUUCUUGUGGGCUCUUAAA